RNAcentral lists this ribosomal RNA (253 nucleotides) under uncultured bacterium. RNAcentral's name for it is "partial 16S ribosomal RNA". It matches the Rfam family "Bacterial small subunit ribosomal RNA", at positions 524 to 776 of the family's 1533-position model. The record is from RNAcentral.
UACGGGGGGGGCAAGCGUUGUUCGGAAUUACUGGGCGUAAAGGGCUCGUAGGCUGCCAACUAAGUCGGACGUGAAAUCCCUCGGCUUAACCGGGGAACUGCGUCUGAUACUGGAUGGCUUGAGUUUGGGAGAGGGAUGCGGAAUUCCAGGUGUAGCGGUGAAAUGCGUAGAUAUCGGGAGGAACACCAGUGGCGAAGGCGACUUCCUGGCCUGUUCUUGACGCUGAGGCGCGAAAGCUAGGGGAGCAAACGGG